UUUCCGUAGGUGAUCCUGCGGAAGGAUCAUUAUUGAAUAAACAGUGUGGGUUGUUGCUGGCCUUCUGGCAUGUGCACGCCUGCCAUAUGUUUCAUUCCCUUCUUUCCACCUGUGCACUAUGUGUAGGCUAUGUAUGCUGUAUUGUCAGGCCCUUCAUAAGGCUUGGUUUAGAGAGGAUGCUUGUCUUUAUGAGACAGGCUCAUCUUGGGCGUACAGGUCUAUGUUUUACACCAACACCAAAUGAAUGUCUUAGAAUGUAUUUUUUCAGGCUCUUGCUAGCCUUUAAACCAUAUACAACUUUCAACAACGGAUCUCUUGGCUCUC
This 324-nucleotide unclassified non-coding RNA is filed under the name plant metagenome. RNAcentral describes it as "partial contains small subunit ribosomal RNA, internal transcribed spacer 1, and 5.8S ribosomal RNA". The record is from RNAcentral.